CCUACGGGUGGCUGCAGUAAGGAAUAUUGGUCAAUGGAGGCAACUCUGAACCAGCCAUGCCGCGUGCAGGAAGACGGCCCUAUGGGUUGUAAACUGCUUUUGUACCAGAGAAAACCCGAGUACGUGUACUCGGUUGAUAGUACGGUAAGAAUAAGCAUCGGCUAACUUCGUGCCAGCAGCCGCGGUAAGACGAAGGAUGCAAGCGUUAUCCGGAUUCAAGGGUGUUAAGGGGGACGUGGACGGACCUGUAGAAAUCUCUCAGCUUAACUGAGAAACUGCCAUUGAUACUGCAGGUCUAGAGUAUAGAUGACGUUGGCGGAAUAUGACAUGUAGUGGUGAAAUACUUAGAUAUGUCAUAGAACACCGAUUGCGAAGGCAGCUAACGAAACUAUAACUGACGCUGAGGCACGAAAGUGCGGGGAUCAAACAGGAUUAGAUACCCCUGUAGUC
This 450-nucleotide ribosomal RNA is filed under the name uncultured bacterium. Its description in RNAcentral is "partial 16S ribosomal RNA". It matches the Rfam family "Bacterial small subunit ribosomal RNA", at positions 338 to 795 of the family's 1533-position model. The record is from RNAcentral.